GUUGGUCUUUGAAGUCUAUUGCACUGGUUCUGGCCCAGAUGCAUGGGCCUCCAAAACAAUUCCAAUUUUGAAUUAUAAAGCUUUAUACAUCUUUGGAUCCCCAUACCUUAUGGAGCAUUGCUUCCUGUAUGAACUUGCCUGGAUUCUUAGGUCAUCAUCGGAAUCCAGAGGCCUUCUUCCUAGCGCCCCCUCUGGCAGAGGUGGAAGAGUGGCUACAAGAGAUGGAGCCUUUUUGAUAGUGGCUCCUUGACUGUGGAAUGCUUGUCCAAGGGAGGCCCGCCUGGUGCUAUCUUUUUGAAGCCACGCCAAGAUUUUCCUCUACUCCCAGGAAGCUUUUCCUGAUAUCCAGUCGAAAUCUGGCUUCCUGCAACUUGAGCUCAUUAUUCUGUGUCCUGCACUCUGGGAAGAUCGAGAAGAGAUCCCGGCCCUCCUCUGUGUGGCAACCUUUCAUGUACUCCACAAGCUAGAGGGAGCCCCAGCUGACAAAGCAUCAAGGUGACAAGCUGCACACAGAGAUGCCCUCACAUUGGCCACACAGAAAGUCUUGCUCUGAGUUGCUGUGGAAGCAGGCUUCUUAUAUUUUAAGGACAUCAAGUAGAAACUCUCCUGCAGGAUGCAGUGACCGACUAUGUAAGGGUGUAAAAUUUGUCUGACAGCCCAUGAAGUGGAAGUCUUCAACGCACACACAGACUACAGCAAGAAUGCUCCAUCCAGAAUGCCGCUUCAGUCGAGAAAGGGAAGUUCAUGCAAGAGAAUAAUACUUUGUAUUCUUGACUCAAUAUUUUGGCGAUGUUGCUGUGGAAGUCACUCUGCCACCGUGACAGAUGCUUCCAUGAACAGGGGGGUGGGAUAAAUUCCUUGGUCAGACCUGUUUGAUGCUCAGGGCAAAUUUAUGAAAACAGGAGGCAACAGGGCUGGCAGGGUUAUGUCAAGCUGUCUUUUAUUUACUUAGUCCAUUUAUAUACCGCUUAUACUAAAUAAAACUCUAAG
Rhineura floridana is the source of this 990-nucleotide long non-coding RNA. RefSeq lists it as uncharacterized. Lineage: Eukaryota; Metazoa; Chordata; Lepidosauria; Squamata; Rhineuridae. The record is from RefSeq and is a predicted model, not a curated record. The transcript has 4 exons.